AUGAACGCUGGCGGCGUGCCUAAUACAUGCAAGUCGAGCGAACAGACGAGGAGCUUGCUCCUCUGACGUUAGCGGCGGACGGGUGAGUAACACGUGGAUAACCUACCUAUAAGACUGGGAUAACUUCGGGAAACCGGAGCAAAUACCGGAUAAUAUAUUGAACCGCAUGGUUCAAUAGUGAAAGACGGUUUUGCUGUCACUUAUAGAUGGAUCCGCGCCGCAUUAGCUAGUUGGUAAGGUAACGGCUUACCAAGGCAACGAUGCGUAGCCGACCUGAGAGGGUGAUCGGCCACACUGGAACUGAGACACGGUCCAGACUCCUACGGGAGGCAGCAGUAGGGAAUCUUCCGCAAUGGGCGAAAGCUUGACGGAGCAACGCCGCGUGAGUGAUGAAGGUCUUCGGAUCGUAAAACUCUGUUAUUAGGGAAGAACAAAUGUGUAAGUAACUAUGCACGUCUUGACGGUACCUAAUCAGAAAGCCACGGCUAACUACGUG
Molecule: ribosomal RNA, 496 nt
Filed under: uncultured bacterium
Lineage: Bacteria
Description: partial 16S ribosomal RNA
Rfam family: Bacterial small subunit ribosomal RNA
Source: RNAcentral